CCUACGGGCGGCAGCAAUUAGGAAUAUUACACAAUGGGGGCAACCCUGAUGUAGCGACACAGCGUGGAGGAAGAAGGUUCUCGGAUCGUAAACUCCUUUUAUAUGGGACGAAUAGAUGACGGUACCAUAUGAAUAAGUACCUGCUUACUACGUGCCAGAAGCAUCGGUGAUGCGUAGGGUACAAACGUUAUCCGGCUUUAUUGGGCGUAAAGAGAAGCGUAGGCGUUUUUGUAAGUCUUGAGUUAAAGACCACGGCUCAACCGUGGAAGAGCUUUCGAGACUGCAAGAAUUGAGACAGGAAUGGGCGAAUGGAAUUCCGAGUGGAGCGGUGAAAUGCGUUGAUAUGCGGAGGAACAUCAGUGGCGAAGGCGAUUCGCUGGUCCUUGUCUGACGCUAAGGCUCGAAAGCGUGGGUAGCAAAAC
RNAcentral lists this ribosomal RNA (422 nucleotides) under uncultured prokaryote. RNAcentral describes it as "bacterial SSU rRNA". It matches the Rfam family "Bacterial small subunit ribosomal RNA", at positions 338 to 774 of the family's 1533-position model. The record is from RNAcentral.